CACAGCCCUGCUGUUCCCAACAGCUUAAGAGCAGCCGCAAGCCUCCUCAGACCAAGAGUCCAGGCCCAGAACCCCGGAGUGGGAUCUCCAGCCCUGUCUCCAUUGGACACGGGUGAUGUCGAGAGCGCCCUAUGGCAUAGCUCCUUUAUCCCGCGGAUCCCGAGGCUACCUGGGCGCCUGGCGGUAGAGAUGGGGAGGCCUCCGAGUCCAGAUCCUCUCCAGCACCCAGAAUCUCAGUUUCCUGAACCCUGGAAGUGGGAUGCCCCAAUCCUCAGAUAUGAUGUCAAAAUGCUAUGCCAGCCUCAGGCUUGGGUCUUCUCCUCAAUCGAGAAGGUGAUCGAGGAGGAGACAUCGGGUGAUCAUGCCUACGAUAAACUUGUGGCUUAAGAGGUGUUAAGAGCUUUUUCCUCCUCUGACAUCUGACACGGUAGUCCUGAGAGCUGGGGAAUGGAGACCAUGACUCAGGUGUUCUAUCAUGCAACGUUCCAAGCACUGCCUCAGUUUCCCCUUCUGCAGAACAGACCGUGUGACGCUGUCAGAGAUGACCCCAGGCUGUCUGGCACAAGGGUGACUGUGGCCCUCGGGCAGCAGGUUGGAAAGCCCAGUCUUGGUAUCUCAGAAGAUGGCAAGCAGAAAGAUUUGUUAACCUGGCUACCUGGGAGGCGGCAGGACGCAGGUCACCUCUGGCCACAUCCCGUUCAUCUCUCACUCUGGAUGCAUAUCUAGGGGACAAUCCGGUCACACUGAGAGGUCAAGUAGGGUUUCCACUGGGGCCACCAAGUGUUGUCCAUCCCCCUUCACCUCCCUUUCCUGGCUAGUUCUUGUCAACUUGAGUCACCCAAGAAGCGGGAACCUCAGUUCUGUGGGAUUCCUAGGCAGGUGGUCCUGGGUUGGAUAAGAGAUCAGGGUAAGCAAGGCUUGGGGAGCAAGCCAGUGAGCAGCACCCCUCCAUGCUCUCCACAUCAGCUCCUGCCUUGAGUUUCUGCCCUGAUUUCCCUGCAUGAUAGACUGCGACACAGGACUGACGCCAAAUAAACCGUUUCUUCCCCC
Long non-coding RNA from Mus musculus (house mouse), 1050 nucleotides. RefSeq annotates it as RIKEN cDNA 2310016G11 gene. The transcript has 5 exons. The record is from RefSeq and is marked validated. Lineage: Eukaryota; Metazoa; Chordata; Mammalia; Rodentia; Muridae.